UUCAGCGGAUUCUAAAGAUGGAUGAAAGUUAACAUCACAGGGGAAAAUUCGGCACUUUUCCACCUGUGUUUGAUUUACCAUCAAAUUUAAAAAUAAGAGCAAAGAGGUUAAAAGUAGAAAACCGAUUUUGGCUAAUAGAAUCCCGAGCGUGGCGACCUCGGCGGUUCUGACGACGUGGAUGACCUUGAUCUGGAUGCUGGGAUAGCUGGAAAGUGGAGCUUGGAGCUUUCAUGAGGAAUUCCUCUGGUUUUUACGUGGAUCUGACCUGCAGUUUGCCUCCUAUUUCCUUCUUUCUGAUGUUCACGAAGCACAAGGUUGAUAAUAGAAAAGAAAUCUGGCCUUGGUUCCAAGCACACGGUAAAGGUUUCUGUUAAAUUAUUCAUGGUAUGAAACUACAACCGUCUGGAACUCACAAAACAACAUCCUGCAUGUAAACUGCAGCGGACACAGAAGAUGAACACAAACAUUUGUUUUUGGAUUUCCUUAAACAAAGCAGUUUUCCUCGUCUGUCCUGGAAGACGAGGACGCCAUGAGCUGUGGAAUGAAAUCAGCCAGGAAGCCUCCAGGCUGUUAUCAGUCCUGCAGCCGUCGGUGAUGGAUCAGGGCUCUUAGCUGAAGUGAUUGACACUUGUGUGAUGGCAGCAUUACUGCAGAAAAAAGUACAAAGAGGUCAGAGAAUCACAUGCUCCCUUCAAGACUUUCAAGGUAAAGCCCAUGCAUUUUUCAACAAAGCAGCCCAAAACUAGAUGAGACAUUCCAAAGCUGGAGAAGUGAGGAGAAGCUGCCUGCAGCUCUGACCUGUACGGGUUCGGUCGGAAACCAGAAACAGGAAAACACCUCCUGAAGAAAAUGAAACAUUUACUGUUUGUAAUAAGCAUGUGUGUCUCUCACUGGUUUGGCAUUCAUUGUUGCGAUAAAUAUUUGAUUAAAAAAAAAACAGAUACGUCUUUUUUCUUCUCACAUUUGGUCAGAUGGACUGAGUUUUUUGUUUUGUUUUCUGCAGAUAAUCUUGGAAGUGGCAGCCAUGACAGACGUGAGUCCAGUUCUCCAGGACCUUCAGAACCUCCUGGGUCCUCUCUGGACCAGGUUUUGCUGAAGCAAUCCUUCUGCAAUGUUUACUUUCCAAUGUGUAUAAAGAAACAAAAGCAGUGGACGUGUUUGCAGCUUCUGAGACCUUUGGCUUGUUUUUCUGUUCUGCUUCAGCAGGAAACCACAGCUUCACCUGUGACUCCAGCGCUGACCUGCAGUCAGGACGGGCAGCUGGAAAAAACUAUCCUCAACACAAUUACCUGUCAAUGUCUGUGCACUGAUCUGCAGGGGGAUGCAUAUUAGUAUAAACAUUUCUGACAUUUUCUUCAGCAACAUUUUUAUUUACCGAUCAGAAGCAGGAAGAGGUGAGGCAACCUUGUGUUGGCCCCAGAGGGCUCAAACCCUCACAACAUGGUUUGCUCCUUGGGACAUACCAUUUCCACAAUGGGUCGCCAGUAUAAUAUCUUCACAAAGCUGACAGAAAAACUGCAUAGAAAAGAGGAAGUACCACGCCGUGCCUCCAGGGGGCGCUGGUGAGCGGAGCGGUGCCGGCUGCUGCCAGAUUUUACACAGAAAAAGUCGGCGCCAAGUAGUUAAAUUUAAAUUAGCCUCUGUUUAACCCGAAAACAGUAAAAAAAAUGAAAAACUUUUCCUUUGUAAAUCAUCUCUGUGAAACAGAAAAACUCAAAGAUGAAGGUAGGACCCAAAAAAAUCCACAAUUUGUUAAAAAAAUAGUUAAAUUAAAAUAGAAUAACUGAUUUAAAGUGUCACUUUUCACCCGAUGUUAAUUAUUGUAUGUUAUAAUUUUGUUGUUAUCUUCCUCUAAACAAUUUGAAUCUCCACAUUUUAAAGUUUUCAUCAAGAAUGGAAGGAAAGGUGUAGCAGAGAUGAAGAUGCUGAGGUUCUCUUUGGGUCCAGGACGGAUCCGGAAUGAAUCCAUCAGAGGAUCUGGAGAUCCACACAGGGAAGCAGGUGGAGAUGUGUGGACACGCUGACAGGAGGAACAGUGAUGAUGUUGAGACCAGCGGCUCUGAAGCCGGAUCACCGAGGGACUCGUCCAGAGAGGCUGCGGCGUGGCGGCGUGGAGAGGGAUGGGCGCGCCUGUGUGGACAUGAAGAUGCAGGUCAGCGUGUGGCUUCCUGGUCAGGAGCAGGUGUCACGAAGCCGUGUUUAAUAGGAUCUGCCCCAAGCCUCUUAGACGUGUUCCUCGACUCCAGAGCGCUGUCCCACUUUCAGGGAGGUGUUAUUCCUCGUAUCUGCAGCUCCUCUGCUUUGUUGCUAUGUAGAAAAGGAGCUGAGAGACGAUGAAGUGUCACGCGUGCAGCCGUGAACUUUUCCCGUGGCGCUGCAGUUUUAUGAGGCUUUUUGCUUUGCAUUUAGGAAAAUAUGAGUGUCAGAAAGAGGUCAGGCUGAGUAGAAGAUUAACCAUUGAGACACUUAGCAGGAAGGAUUACUUCUUAACUUUUUAAAGACGUUUAAUUAAAGGUGUAGAAAGUAUGCGGAUAAACCCUCAUGCGUUCUCACUGACCUACUUUUUUUGUGUCUGCCACCCGACUAAUAAUAAAAAUGAAGCGCCGGGUAAACAACAACAAAGCGCGGCAUGCUGGGAGCAGACACGGCGUGCAGGUGAGUCCGGCUCAGACGUGCCGGCUCACUGAACUGUGUGUGGUCAGCUGCUCGUCACAAAGCCUCUUCACAGCUCGUCUUUAUUUAGUGCCUCACCUUUCUGGCUCUGGGUCAGCUCUUGCUUGCAGAAGAGCUUAUUUCUGCCACGGCUUCCCCUCUCCAGGAAAAAAGGCCACUUAGUGCCUUAAUGUGCCAUUACUGCCGUCCACAAAGGAGGAUUUAAAAUACACUUUGUAAUCUAUCCUGGGGGGGGGGGGCACGAGUGUUUAAAAAUCCAACAGAUGAGUUUAAAAAGCAGCAGAUGAGGAGGUGGAAUACCUGCAGUCUGGGUUUCCUCAGACUCGCCAUGUAACCUGAUAUUUGCACAAUUCAGAUGUAGCACUCAGUGAAGAGGCGCCUGACCCCCCCACAUUAACCCCCGCUCUCCCGCCACUUCUGCCAGCAGAGACAGAGAUAUUUUCAGGCCAAACACAAUUAAAGCAGUGGGCUGAUGUGAGGGAGGUGCUGUAUCCUGACGUGUUGUGCCGCUUCCUGCCUCGUCUCUCAUAAUGCCGCUCAUUUGUCACCCCCCCGGCUCCCCUACCCCUCCGCCUCCCGCCUACAUGCUUGGAUGCCGCUGCUGUGCAGCAGAGAUCACGCUCUCGGGAGUGGCAGCCCGCACUCGAUGGCGAAAAGGUGAUGCUGCUUGAAGCUCCUGAGCGGCAGACCCAGUUUCCAUUAUUCAAUAAGCAGGUUGCCUGCUCCUGGUUCUGACAGCACGGUGGUGUGGGUCUGAUUAUGCGGGGUGGGUGUGAGCCCCGGGCCAUCAGGAGAGAUAAACCCAGCGUAGCAGCGAUCAAUAACUACCAGAAGGGCAGAUAAUGAUUUAUUAAGCAGGCUAUGGCUCCGAGCUGUGCAUAACUAUUCCUCUUGUUAUCCAGAAAUCAAAAACCAUCUGGGAGCUUUGCUGAAUAUGAACCGUCUCUGUUGCAGCUCACAUCUGCAUAACCUGAAGAACUCUUCCUGUGAAACCUUUGACCUUUGUGUCAGAAUGACCUCCAUCGCGGCGUCAAGAGCAUCCGGCACACUUGUCCGUGUUCGGGAAGUUCUGCACAAACUGUUACAACAGCUGCUCGUUGGGGGGGGGGGGGGGCGCUGUAGCCGAAAACCAAUCAAAGGUCCAUUCCUGCGUCUACCUGAUGACUGGCUUCACCUCCUCACUCCCACCCUAAUGGAAGAAGGACUUAGAGCAGCUUUGUGAAUCUUCUGCUUGUUUUUCUUCUUCCAUCCUGGAGAGCGUGCUCCUUACAUCACUUCCUGUCUUUACCAAACACGCCACUGCUUCCCAACUGCUUACAAACCCAGUGGCCAAGUGGAAGAGUGUCCAGCCUGAGCUGGAAGGUACAAAUCCACGGUCAUGUCAAAGACUAAAAAUGGGAUGCCUCCUUGCUCGACACUCAGCAGCCCAAACGGUUCUGCAGCGUGACUGUCUGCUGCUCACUGCUCCCCCAGGGAGGACAAACGCCACUCACCCUGGUGUGUGGCAGCCAUCGGCUGUAUCUGAGAACUGGACUGAGUGGCCCCUCCCCCUGGAACGCUAGGGGGAGGGGCAUGGUUCUGAUACCUCUUUUUUAACAAAUUUUUGAUAACCCUGUUUCUUUUCAGGAUAUUUUUUCUGUAAUUCAAGUUAUCAAAGUUAUAA
Oryzias latipes (Japanese medaka) is the source of this 4336-nucleotide non-coding RNA. The record is from RefSeq and is a predicted model, not a curated record. NCBI's taxonomy places the organism in Eukaryota, Metazoa, Chordata, Actinopteri, Beloniformes, Adrianichthyidae.